CCUACGGGGGACAGCAGUGGGGAAUAUUGGGCAAUGGAGGCAACUCUGACCCAGCAACGCCGCGUGAAUGAUGAAGGUCUUCGGAUUGUAAAGUUCUUUUCUAAGGGAAGAAGGAAGUCACGGUACCUUAGGAAUAAGCCUCGGCUAACUACGUGCCAGCAGCCGCGGUAAUACGUAGGAGGCAAGCGUGAUCCGGAAUGACUGGGCGUACGGGGUGCGUAGGUGGUAGGACAAGUUAAGGGCGAAAUUCGGGCGCUCAACGUCGGAACUACUAUUGAAAGUGUUGGACUGGAGUGUGGGAGAGGAUAGGGGAAGUCCAGGUGGAGGAGGGAAAGCCGUAGAUAGCGGGAGGAACAUCAGGGGAGAAGGCGACUAGCGGGCACAUAAAUGACGCUGAGGAGUGAAAGCGUGGGUAGCAAACAGGAUUAGAGACAAUUGUAGGG
Molecule: ribosomal RNA, 443 nt
Filed under: uncultured bacterium
Lineage: Bacteria
Description: partial 16S ribosomal RNA
Rfam family: Bacterial small subunit ribosomal RNA
Source: RNAcentral